CCUACGGGGCGCAGCAGUGAGGAAUAUUGGUCAAUGGACGCAAGUCUGAACCAGCCAUGCCGCGUGCAGGAAGACGGCUCUAUGAGUUGUAAACUGCUUUUGUACGAGGGUAAACGCAGAUACGUGUAUCUGUCUGAAAGUAUCGUAUGAAUAAGGAUCGGCUAACUCCGUGCCAGCAGCCGCGGUAAUACGGAGGAUUCAAGCGUUAUCCGGAUUUAUUGGGUUUAAAGGGUGCGUAGGCGGUCGGAUAAGUUAGAUGUGAAAUUCCGCGGCUCAACUUCGGAAUUGCAUUUGAUACUGUCAGUCUAGAGAACAGGUGCGGUAGGCGGAAUGUAUGGUGUAGCGGUGAAAUGCUUAGAGAUCAUACAGAACACCGAUUGCGAAGGCAGCUUACCAAGCUACUUCUGACGUUGAGGCACGAAAGCGUGGGGAGCAAACAGGAUUAGAUACCCUGGUAGUC
RNAcentral lists this ribosomal RNA (460 nucleotides) under uncultured bacterium. RNAcentral's name for it is "partial 16S ribosomal RNA". It matches the Rfam family "Bacterial small subunit ribosomal RNA", at positions 338 to 795 of the family's 1533-position model. The record is from RNAcentral.